RNAcentral lists this ribosomal RNA (458 nucleotides) under uncultured bacterium. RNAcentral's name for it is "bacterial SSU rRNA". It matches the Rfam family "Bacterial small subunit ribosomal RNA", at positions 29 to 501 of the family's 1533-position model. The record is from RNAcentral.
GUGAACGCUGGCGGUAGGCCUAACACAUGCAAGUCGAACGGCAGCACAGUAAGAGCUUGCUCUUAUGGGUGGCGAGUGGCGGACGGGUGAGGAAUACAUCGGAAUCUACUCUGUCGUGGGGGAUAACGUAGGGAAACUUACGCUAAUACCGCAUACGACCUACGGGUGAAAGCAGGGGAUCUUCGGACCUUGCGCGAUUGAAUGAGCCGAUGUCGGAUUAGCUAGUUGGCGGGGUAAAGGCCCACCAAGGCGACGAUCCGUAGCUGGUCUGAGAGGAUGAUCAGCCACACUGGAACUGAGACACGGUCCAGACUCCUACGGAGGCAGCAGUGGGGAAUAUUGGACAAUGGGCGCAAGCCUGAUCCAGCCAUACCGCGUGGGUGAAGAAGGCCUUCGGGUUGUAAAACUCUUUUAGCAGGGAAAUAAUGAUGGUACCUGCAGAAAAAGUCUCGGCUAAC